GCAGUAGCCGCGGUAAUACGGAGGGCGCGAGCGUUACCCGGAUUUACUGGGCGUAAAGGGCGUGUAGGCGGCCUGGGGCGUCCCAUGUGAAAGGCCACGGCUCAACCGUGGAGGAGCGUGGGAUACGCUCAGGCUAGAGGGUGGGAGAGGGUGGUGGAAUUCCCGGAGUAGCGGUGAAAUGCGCAGAUACCGGGAGGAACGCCGAUGGCGAAGGCAGCCACCUGGUCCACUUCUGACGCUGAGGCGCGAAAGCGUGGGGAGCAAACCGGAUUAGAUACCCCUGUAGUCCCUGUCUCUUAUAC
RNAcentral lists this ribosomal RNA (302 nucleotides) under uncultured bacterium. RNAcentral's name for it is "partial 16S ribosomal RNA". It matches the Rfam family "Bacterial small subunit ribosomal RNA", at positions 508 to 807 of the family's 1533-position model. The record is from RNAcentral.